UACGGGGGGGGCAAGCGUUGUUCGGAAUUCCUGGGCGUAAAGGGCUCGUAGGCGGCCAACUAAGUCAGACGUGAAAUCCCUCGGCUUAACCGGGGAACUGCGUCUGAUACUGGAUGGCUUGAGUUCGGGAGAGGGAUGCGGAAUUCCAGGUGUAGCGGUGAAAUGCGUAGAUAUCUGGAGGAACACCGGUGGCGAAGGCGGCAUCCUGGACCGACACUGACGCUGAGGAGCGAAAGCCAGGGGAGCAAACGGG
Molecule: ribosomal RNA, 253 nt
Filed under: uncultured bacterium
Lineage: Bacteria
Description: partial 16S ribosomal RNA
Rfam family: Bacterial small subunit ribosomal RNA
Source: RNAcentral